This is a long non-coding RNA of Hippocampus comes (tiger tail seahorse), 610 nucleotides long. RefSeq lists it as uncharacterized. The record is from RefSeq and is a predicted model, not a curated record. The transcript has 2 exons. Lineage: Eukaryota; Metazoa; Chordata; Actinopteri; Syngnathiformes; Syngnathidae.
CGAGCUGUAAGUUUGCUCCAUUUGUUCCCAUCGCUUUCUGUGUUCUGGUGCUUCUUGGUGUUCGUUGGCGGAUUCUUCGCCCACAUUUCCGCCCUGUCUGACGGAGUGGCGUUUUGCAUUUGCUGACAGCUCGCAUCCCGGGUGACAGCCUCUCAAAUCGCGACCGGGAAAUUAGUGUCAAAAGGACACGUCAAGCCAUCUCUGUGAUGAACGUUCGCUGUUGAUGAUGAUGUUGUUCAUUUCGAGGGGCUCCUAAGAUUCAUUUCGUGUGAUGAGAGCGCCCCGAGGAGAAAACUUCACCGGCUGCCACUGCCUAACAUGAAUGUUUGUGGCCAUGCAAUGUGGGAGUAAGUCCCCGAAAAAGACAGACAAAUCCGCAAGCGUGGAUAGAGCGUGCAAAUCUGAUUUGAACUUCAACUUAUCUAUGAAUGACCUGACCUGGCCCGUGUUUAAAAUAAAAAUACCGGAGUCCAAAGUGUUUGGCCACAUUAUCAAAACUCAAUGGAAGACAUAAAGAAUGACACUUGUUUUAACGAGCAUUUAUUCCUUGAGAUAUACGUAUAAGCAAGAGCCUUUAAACAUGCUUGAAAGAGGAAAGAAAAAAAAAAAA